GACGAACGCUGGCGGCGUGCCUAACACAUGCAAGUCGAGCGAUUCUCUUCGGAGAAGAGCGGCGGACGGGUGAGUAACGCGUGGGUAACCUGCCCUGUACACACGGAUAACAUACCGAAAGGUAUGCUAAUACGAGAUAAUAUGCUUUUAUCGCAUGGUAGAAGUAUCAAAGCUUUUGCGGUACAGGAUGGACCCGCGUCUGAUUAGCUAGUUGGUAAGGUAACGGCUUACCAAGGCGACGAUCAGUAGCCGACCUGAGAGGGUGAUCGGCCACAUUGGAACUGAGACACGGUCCAAACUCCUACGGGAGGCAGCAGUGGGGAAUAUUGCACAAUGGGCGAAAGCCUGAUGCAGCAACGCCGUGUGAGCGAUGAAGGCCUUCGGGUCGUAAAGCUCUGUCCUCAAGGAAGAUAAUGACGGUACUUGAGGAGGAAGCCCCGGCUAACUACGUGCCAGCCGCCGCGGUAA
Molecule: ribosomal RNA, 468 nt
Filed under: uncultured bacterium
Lineage: Bacteria
Description: partial 16S ribosomal RNA
Rfam family: Bacterial small subunit ribosomal RNA
Source: RNAcentral